ACAAAGUUUCUUGUUUUAGUUGGUUAUCCAUAAAGUGAUACACAACAUCACACAUACAAACUUUUCUCACGUACAAAUAUAUUGCAUUUCCCUUGUUAAGACCAUUUCAACUAAUUGAGAGCGUGUUCGUAAUAUUUGGUUUUCCUCUUGUGCAAAAUAUAUGAAAAAAAUAAAAAAACAAACAAAGCUCA
Long non-coding RNA from Thalassophryne amazonica, 191 nucleotides. RefSeq lists it as uncharacterized. The transcript is spliced from 3 exons. The record is from RefSeq and is a predicted model, not a curated record. Lineage: Eukaryota; Metazoa; Chordata; Actinopteri; Batrachoidiformes; Batrachoididae.